CCUACGGGAGGCAGCAGUAGGGAAUCUUCCACAAUGGGCGAAAGCCUGAUGGAGCAACGCCGCGUGGGUGAAGAAGGUCUUUGGAUCGUAAAACCCUGUUGUUAGAGAAGAAAGUGCGUGAGAGUAACUGUUCACGUUUCGACGGUAUCUAACCAGAAAGCCACGGCUAACUACGGGCCAGCAGCCGCGGUAAUACGUAGGUGGCAAGCGUUAUCCGGAUUGAUUGGGCGUAAAGGGAACGCAGGCGGUCUUUUAAGUCUGAUGUGAAAGCCUUCGGCUUAACCGGAGUAGUGCAUUGGAAACUGGGAGACUUGAGUGCAGAAGAGGAGAGUGGAACUCCAUGUGUAGCGGUGAAAUGCGUAGAUAUAUGGAAGAACACCAGUGGCGAAAGCGGCUCUCUGGUCUGUAACUGACGCUGAGGUUCGAAAGCGUGGGUAGCAAACAGGAUUAGAUACCCCUGUAGUC
RNAcentral lists this ribosomal RNA (465 nucleotides) under uncultured bacterium. Its description in RNAcentral is "partial 16S ribosomal RNA". It matches the Rfam family "Bacterial small subunit ribosomal RNA", at positions 338 to 795 of the family's 1533-position model. The record is from RNAcentral.